Molecule: ribosomal RNA, 253 nt
Filed under: uncultured bacterium
Lineage: Bacteria
Description: partial 16S ribosomal RNA
Rfam family: Bacterial small subunit ribosomal RNA
Source: RNAcentral
UACGUAGGGUGCGAGCGUUGUCCGGAAUUAUUGGGCGUAAAGGGCUCGUAGGCGGUUUGUCGCGUCGGGAGUGAAAUCCACUGGCUUAACUGGUGGCUUGCUUUCGAUACGGGCAGACUGGAGGUAUGCAGGGGAGAACGGAAUUCCUGGUGUAGCGGUGAAAUGCGCAGAUAUCAGGAGGAACACCGGUGGCGAAGGCGGUUCUCUGGGCAUGUCCUAACGCUGAGGAGCGAAAGUGUGGGGAGCGAACAGG